Molecule: ribosomal RNA, 426 nt
Filed under: uncultured bacterium
Lineage: Bacteria
Description: bacterial SSU rRNA
Rfam family: Bacterial small subunit ribosomal RNA
Source: RNAcentral
UCUAGAGGCUUCGGCAAUGGGGGAAACCCUGACCGAGCGACGCCGCGUGUGGGAUGAAGCCCUUCGGGGUGUAAACCGCUGUCAGUAGGGAAGAAUACCGGAAAGGUGAUUUCCGGGGAGACGGUACCUGCAGAGGAAGCCACGGCUAACUCCGUGCCAGCAGCCGCGGUAAGACGGAGGUGGCAAGCGUUAUUCGGAUUCAUUGGGCGUAAAGGGCGCGUAGGCGGCUUGGUAAGUCUGAUGUGAAAUCUCCAUCGCUCAACGAGGAGACGGCAUCGGAUACUGCCAAUCUUGAGUGCAGAAGAGGUAAGUGGAAUUCCUGGUGUAGCGGUGGAAUGCGUAGAUAUCAGGAGGAACACCGGUGGCGAAGGCGGCUUACUGGUCUGCUACUGACGCUGAGGCGCGAAAGCGUGGGGAGCAAACAGG